GGUCGGCGAGGUGUUGCACGCGUUGGCGUUGUCGUUGCCGGCGGCGACGGCGAAGGUCACUCCGGCGGAGACGGCGCGUUCGAUCGCGGCGUCGACCGCC
This 100-nucleotide transfer RNA is filed under the name Actinomadura rubteroloni. RNAcentral describes it as "Actinomadura sp. RB29 tRNA-Ala". Lineage: Bacteria; Bacillati; Actinomycetota; Actinomycetes; Streptosporangiales; Thermomonosporaceae. The record is from RNAcentral.